Molecule: ribosomal RNA, 1059 nt
Filed under: uncultured Dechloromonas sp.
Lineage: Bacteria; Pseudomonadati; Pseudomonadota; Betaproteobacteria; Rhodocyclales; Azonexaceae
Description: bacterial SSU rRNA
Rfam family: Bacterial small subunit ribosomal RNA
Source: RNAcentral
CCUACGGGAGGCAGCAGUGGGGAAUUUUGGACAAUGGGCGCAAGCCUGAUCCAGCCAUGCCGCGUGAGUGAAGAAGGCCUUCGGGUUGUAAAGCUCUUUCGGCCGGGAAGAAAUCGCAUUGGUUAAUACCUGGUGUGGAUGACGGUACCGGAAUAAGAAGCACCGGCUAACUACGUGCCAGCAGCCGCGGUAAUACGUAGGGUGCGAGCGUUAAUCGGAAUUACUGGGCGUAAAGCGUGCGCAGGCGGUUUUGUAAGACAGGCGUGAAAUCCCCGGGUUCAACCUGGGAACUGCGCUUGUGACUGCAAGGCUAGAGUACGGCAGAGGGGGGUGGAAUUCCACGUGUAGCAGUGAAAUGCGUAGAGAUGUGGAGGAACACCAAUGGCGAAGGCAGCCCCCUGGGUCGAUACUGACGCUCAUGCACGAAAGCGUGGGUAGCAAACAGGAUUAGAUACCCUGGUAGUCCACGCCCUAAACGAUGUCAACUAGGUGUUGGGAGGGUAAAACCUUUUAGUACCGGAGCUAACGCGUGAAGUUGACCGCCUGGGGAGUACGGCCGCAAGGUUAAAACUCAAAGGAAUUGACGGGGACCCGCACAAGCGGUGGAUGAUGUGGAUUAAUUCGAUGCAACGCGAAAAACCUUACCUACCCUUGACAUGUCAGGAAGUCUUGAGAGAUUGAGAUGUGCCCGAAAGGGAACCUGAACACAGGUGCUGCAUGGCUGUCGUCAGCUCGUGUCGUGAGAUGUUGGGUUAAGUCCCGCAACGAGCGCAACCCUUGUCGUUAAUUGCCAUCAUUUAGUUGGGCACUUUAGCGAGACUGCCGGUGACAAACCGGAGGAAGGUGGGGAUGACGUCAAGUCCUCAUGGCCCUUAUGGGUAGGGCUUCACACGUCAUACAAUGGUCGGUACAAAGGGUCGCCAACCCGCGAGGGGGAGCCAAUCCCAGAAAGCCGAUCGUAGUCCGGAUUGCAGGCUGCAACUCGCCUGCAUGAAGUCGGAAUCGCUAGUAAUCGUGGAUCAGCAUGUCACGGUGAAUACGGUCCCGGCCUUGUACACA